RNAcentral lists this transfer RNA (84 nucleotides) under Paramarasmius palmivorus. RNAcentral's name for it is "tRNA-Lys". It matches the Rfam family "tRNA". From Rfam's summary of the family: Transfer RNA (tRNA) molecules are approximately 80 nucleotides in length. Their secondary structure includes four short double-helical elements and three loops (D, anti-codon, and T loops). Further hydrogen bonds mediate the characteristic L-shaped molecular structure. tRNAs have two regions of fundamental functional importance: the anti-codon, which is responsible for specific mRNA codon recognition, and the 3' end, to which the tRNAs corresponding amino acid is attached (by aminoacyl-tRNA synthetases). tRNAs cope with the degeneracy of the genetic code in two manners: having more than one tRNA (with a specific anti-codon) for a particular amino acid; and 'wobble' base-pairing, i.e. permitting non-standard base-pairing at the 3rd anti-codon position. The record is from RNAcentral. Lineage: Eukaryota; Fungi; Basidiomycota; Agaricomycetes; Agaricales; Marasmiaceae. RNAcentral also lists the same sequence under 2 other names.
GCCCGCCUAGCUCAAUCGGAUAGAGCGUCAGACUCUUACUAAGGCGGGAUCUGAAGGCUGCGAGUUCGACCCUCGCGGUGGGCU